AGAAUUAUAACAUAAAAGAAUCAUCAGAGUAAAGGUAGUAUAUGUAAAUGUAUGUGGUAAACAAACCAUUUUAGGUUACAAGUUACAUUAAAAAAUAAAAAUUAAAGAUUUAAAUGACUAAGUACAAUGUUUAUUCUUUAACAGAAGUGAACUCAUUGAAUGGCUUAUUAAGAGAAACUUGCAAGUGUAUUAUUUUAUCACAGAGCAUAGAGUAUUAUAAUAUUGUUGUAUUAUUUUGUGUGCUAUUACUUGGACAAACAUCUUCAACCCCCAUUUUAUCUGAACAAAUAAACAACUCAACACAACAGCUUCUGUUAUGGGGUCACAUACGAUGUCUACGGUUGAAUGACGAGGUCAAUUCUGGUUGUAUCCAUAGAAAGGUACAUUUUGAAAUCCCUGGUGAUGAAGAUAAUGUAUUUCUCUGUACACAGCUUCUGUUAUGGUUUCACAUAUGAUGUCUUCGAUCCCUGGUUGUAUCCAUGUCAAAGUACAUUUUGUUGAUUUAAAGUUUA
Molecule: long non-coding RNA, 512 nt
Organism: Macrosteles quadrilineatus (aster leafhopper)
Lineage: Eukaryota; Metazoa; Arthropoda; Insecta; Hemiptera; Cicadellidae
Exons: 2
Source: RefSeq, a predicted model, not a curated record